This 59-nucleotide small RNA is filed under the name Caenorhabditis elegans. RNAcentral's name for it is "Unclassified non-coding RNA Y47C4A.3". The record is from RNAcentral. Lineage: Eukaryota; Metazoa; Nematoda; Chromadorea; Rhabditida; Rhabditidae.
AUCUCAAAAUUGCGUGAAAUUCGGUGUUUGCGUACUUCUGAGGCUACAGUAACCCGAAA